Molecule: ribosomal RNA, 341 nt
Filed under: uncultured Chloroflexota bacterium
Lineage: Bacteria; Bacillati; Chloroflexota
Description: bacterial SSU rRNA
Rfam family: Bacterial small subunit ribosomal RNA
Source: RNAcentral
AACGAACGCUAGCGGCGUGCCUAACACAUGCAAGUCGAACGAGAAAUCCUGAGCAAUCGGGAGAGUAAAGUGGCGCACGGGUGAGUAACGCGUGGGUAAUCUGCCCUGGAGUUAGGAAUAACACCUCGAAAGGGGUGCUAAUACCUGAUAAGAUCCUGAAAACCUCGGUAUUUGGGAUAAAAGAUAGCUGAGGCUUGCAAGCUAUUGCUCUAGGAUGAGCCCGCGUACCAUUAGCUAGUUGGUGAGGUAAUGGCCCACCAAGGCAAUGAUGGUUAGCUGGUCUGAGAGGAUGGCCAGCCACACUGGAACUGAGAUACGGUCCAGACUCCUACGGGAGGCUG